Molecule: ribosomal RNA, 408 nt
Filed under: uncultured bacterium
Lineage: Bacteria
Description: partial 16S ribosomal RNA
Rfam family: Bacterial small subunit ribosomal RNA
Source: RNAcentral
GACGAACGCUGGCGGCGUGCUUAACACAUGCAAGUCGAACGAAGUGGCGAACGGGUGAGUAAAGCGUAAUCAACCUGCCCUUCAGAGGGGGACAAAAGUUGGAAACGACUGCUAAUACCGCAUACUGAAGGAGGGGAUUGCGUCUGAUUAGCUAGUUGGAGGGGUAACGGCCCACCAAGGCGAUGAUCAGUCGCCGGUCGGACAGGAUGACCGGCCACAUUGGGACGGAGAAACGGCCCAGACUCCUACGGUAGGCAGCAGUGGGGAAGCUUCCGCAAUGGACGAAAUUCUUACGGAGCAACGCCGCGUGAGUGAGGACGGCCUUCGGGUUGUAAAGCUCUGUUAAUCGGGACGCGGUACCGGAAUAGAAAGCCACGGCUAACUACGUGCCAGCAGCCGCGGUAAUUC